CCUACGGGUGACAGCAGUGAGGAAUAUUGGUCAAUGGGCGGAAGCCUGAACCAGCCAAGUAGCGUGCAGGAUGACGGCCCUACGGGUUGUAAACUGCUUUUAUACGGGAAUAACGCGCCUUACGUGUAGGGCUUUGCAUGUACCGUAUGAAUCAGGACCGGCUAAUUCCGUGCCAGCAGCCGCGGUAAUACGGAAGGUCCGGGCGUUAUCCGGAUUUAUUGGGUUUAAGGGGAGCGUAGGCCGCAUGUCAAGCGUGCUGUGAAAUGUCAGGGCUCAACCCGGGCCUUGCAGCGCGAACUGGGGUGCUUGAGUCCGCGGAAGGCAGGAGGAAUUCGUCGUGUAGCGGUGAAAUGCUUAGAUAUGACGAAGAACCCCGAUGGCGAAGGCAGCUUGCUGCAGUGUAACUGACGCUGAUGUUCGAAAGCGUGGGUAUCGAACAGGAUUAGAUACCCCUGUAGUC
RNAcentral lists this ribosomal RNA (460 nucleotides) under uncultured bacterium. RNAcentral describes it as "partial 16S ribosomal RNA". It matches the Rfam family "Bacterial small subunit ribosomal RNA", at positions 338 to 795 of the family's 1533-position model. The record is from RNAcentral.